GGGUUGUGAGGUUAAGCGAAUAAGCGUACACGGUGGAUGCCUAGGCAAUCAGAGGCGAUGAAGGACGUGCUAAUCUGCGAAAAGCGUCGGUAAGGUGAUAUGAACCGUUAUACCCGACGAUAUCCGAAUGGGGAAACCCAGUAUCCAAUGGAUACUAUCAUUAACUGAAUCCAUAGGUUAAUGAGGCGAACCGGGAGAACUGAAACAUCUCAGUACCCCGAGGAAAAGAAAUCAACCGAGAUUCCCCUAGUAGCGGCGAGCGAACGGGGAGCAGCCCAGAGUCUUAAUCAAUAACAGUGUCAGGAGAACGGUCUGGAAAGUCCGGCAGUAAAGGGUGAUAGCCCCGUAUCUGAAGAUGCUGUUGUUGUGAACUCGACGAGUAGGGCGGGACACGUGUUAUCCUGUCUGAAUAUGGGGGGACCAUCCUCCAAGGCUAAAUACUCCUGAUUGACCGAUAGUGAACCAGUACCGUGAGGGAAAGGCGAAAAGAACCCCGGCGAGGGGAGUGAAAAAGAACCUGAAACCGUGUACGUACAAGCAGUAGGAGCCUCUUUAUGGGGUGACUGCGUACCUUUUGUAUAAUGGGUCAGCGACUUAUAUUCUGUAGCAAGGUUAACCGUAUAGGGGAGCCGUAGGGAAACCGAGUCUUAACUGGGCGAAUGAGUUGCAGGGUAUAGACCCGAAACCCGGUGAUCUAUCCAUGGGCAGGUUGAAGGUUGGGUAACACUAACUGGAGGACCGAACCGACUAAUGUUGAAAAAUUAGCGGAUGACUUGUGGAUGGGGGUGAAAGGCCAAUCAAACCGGGAGAUAGCUGGUUCUCCCCGAAAGCUAUUUAGGUAGCGCCUCGUGAACUCAUCUUCGGGGGUAGAGCACUGUUUCGACUAGGGGGUCAUCCCGACUUACCAACUCGAUGCAAACUGCGAAUACCGAAGAAUGUUAUCACGGGAGACACACGGCGGGUGCUAACGUCCGUCGUGAAGAGGGAAACAACCCAGACCGCCAGCUAAGGUCCCAAAGUCAUGGUUAAGUGGGAAACGAAGUGGGAAGGCUCAGACAGCCAGGAUGUUGGCUUAGAAGCAGCCAUCAUUUAAAGAAAGCGUAAUAGCUCACUGGUCGAGUCGGCCCGCGCGGAAGAUGUAACGGGGCUAAACCAUGCACCGAAGCUGCGGCAGCGACACAAAGUGUUGUUGGGUAGGGGAGCGUUCUGUAAGCCUGCGAAGGUGUACUGUGAGGUAUGCUGGAGGUAUCAGAAGUGCGAAUGCUGACAUAAGUAACGAUAAUGCGGGUGAAAAACCCGCACGCCGGAAGACCAAGGGUUCCUGUCCAACGUUAAUCGGGGCAGGGUGAGUCGACCCCUAAGGCGAGGCUGAAAAGCGUAGUCGAUGGGAAACGGGUUAAUAUUCCCGUACUGGUGGUAACUGCGAUGGGGGAACGGAGAAGGCUAGGUUGUCCGGGCGACGGUCGUCCCGGUUCAAGCAGGUAGGCAGAGUGAUUAGGCAAAUCCGGUCACUUAAUGCUGAGAUGUGAUGACGAACCACCAAGGUGGUGAAGCAAUUGAUGCCCCGCUUCCAGGAAAAGCCUCUAAGCUUCAGGUUACCAACAAUCGUACCCCAAACCGACACAGGUGGUCAGGUAGAGAAUACUCAGGCGCUUGAGAGAACUCGGGUGAAGGAACUAGGCAAAAUGGUGCCGUAACUUCGGGAGAAGGCACGCUGGCGGUAGGUAAAGUCCCUCGCGGACGGCGCUGAAGCCAGUCGAAGAUACCAGCUGGCUGCAACUGUUUAUUAAAAACACAGCACUGUGCAAACACGAAAGUGGACGUAUACGGUGUGACGCCUGCCCGGUGCUGGAAGGUUAAUUGAUGGGGUCAGCCGUAAGGCGAAGCUCCUGAUCGAAGCCCCAGUAAACGGCGGCCGUAACUAUAACGGUCCUAAGGUAGCGAAAUUCCUUGUCGGGUAAGUUCCGACCUGCACGAAUGGCGUAAUGAUGGCCAGGCUGUCUCCACCCGAGACUCAGUGAAAUUGAACUCGCUGUGAAGAUGCAGUGUACCCGCGGCAAGACGGAAAGACCCCGUGAACCUUUACUAUAGCUUGACACUGAACAUUGAGCCUUGAUGUGUAGGAUAGGUGGGAGGCUUUGAAGUGUGGACGCCAGUCUGCAUGGAGCCAACCUUGAAAUACCACCCUUUAACGUUUGAUGUUCUAACCUAGGCCCAUAAACUGGGUCGGGGACCGUGUCUGGUGGGUAGUUUGACUGGGGCGGUCUCCUCCUAAAGAGUAACGGAGGAGCACGAAGGUUGGCUAAGCAUGGUCGGACAUCAUGCGGUUAGUGCAAAGGCAUAAGCCAGCUUGACUGCGAGAGUGACGGCUCGAGCAGGUACGAAAGUAGGUCUUAGUGAUCCGGUGGUUCUGAAUGGAAGGGCCAUCGCUCAACGGAUAAAAGGUACUCCGGGGAUAACAGGCUGAUACCGCCCAAGAGUUCAUAUCGACGGCGGUGUUUGGCACCUCGAUGUCGGCUCAUCACAUCCUGGGGCUGAAGUAGGUCCCAAGGGUAUGGCUGUUCGCCAUUUAAAGUGGUACGCGAGCUGGGUUUAGAACGUCGUGAGACAGUUCGGUCCCUAUCUGCCGUGGGCGUUGGAAGAUUGAGAGGGGUUGCUCCUAGUACGAGAGGACCGGAGUGAACGCACCACUGGUGUUCGGGUUGUCAUGCCAAUGGCAUUGCCCGGUAGCUAAGUGCGGAAGAGAUAACCGCUGAAAGCAUCUAAGCGGGAAACUUGCCUCGAGAUGAGUCUUCCCUGUCGCUUUAAGCGACCUAAAGGAACGUUUAAGACUAAGACGUUGAUAGGCUGGGUGUGUAAGCGUAGCGAUACGUUGAGCUAACCAGUACUAAUGAACCGUGAGGCUUAACCUGACAACACCGAAAGUGUUUUG
RNAcentral lists this ribosomal RNA (2932 nucleotides) under Proteus mirabilis. RNAcentral describes it as "23S ribosomal RNA". It matches the Rfam family "Bacterial large subunit ribosomal RNA". The record is from RNAcentral. Lineage: Bacteria; Pseudomonadati; Pseudomonadota; Gammaproteobacteria; Enterobacterales; Morganellaceae.